CCCCUAGACGUCCUGGGCGGCACGCGCGCUACAAUGACACAUUCAUCGAGCUUUUUACCUCGGCCGAGAGGCCCGGGCAAUCUUUUCAAAAUGUGUCAUGACGGGGAUUGCAGAUUGCAAUUUUUCUGCAUGAACGAGGAAUGCCUAGUAGACGCAAGUCAUCAGCUUGCAUCGAUUACGUCCCUGCCCUUUGUACACACCGCCCGUCGCUACUACCGAUUGAAUGGUUUGGUGAGUUCUAUGGACUGUCCGGUAGGGAUGGCAACAUCCCCGCUAGACGGGAAGUAAUGCAAACCUGAUCAUUUAGAGGAAGUAAAAGUCGUAACA
This 327-nucleotide ribosomal RNA is filed under the name uncultured eukaryote. RNAcentral's name for it is "partial 18S ribosomal RNA". It matches the Rfam family "Eukaryotic small subunit ribosomal RNA", at positions 1470 to 1796 of the family's 1831-position model. The record is from RNAcentral.